RNAcentral lists this ribosomal RNA (747 nucleotides) under uncultured bacterium. Its description in RNAcentral is "bacterial SSU rRNA". It matches the Rfam family "Bacterial small subunit ribosomal RNA", at positions 33 to 773 of the family's 1533-position model. The record is from RNAcentral.
ACGCUGGCGGCAGGCCUAACACAUGCAAGUCGAGCGGCAGCACGGGUACUUGUACCUGGUGGCGAGCGGCGGACGGGUGAGUAAUGCCUAGGAAUCUGCCUGGUAGUGGGGGAUAACGCUCGGAAACGGACGCUAAUACCGCAUACGUCCUACGGGAGAAAGCAGGGGACCUUCGGGCCUUGCGCUAUCAGAUGAGCCUAGGUCGGAUUAGCUAGUUGGUGGGGUAAUGGCUCACCAAGGCGACGAUCCGUAACUGGUCUGAGAGGAUGAUCAGUCACACUGGAACUGAGACACGGUCCAGACUCCUACGGGAGGCAGCAGUGGGGAAUAUUGGACAAUGGGCGAAAGCCUGAUCCAGCCAUGCCGCGUGUGUGAAGAAGGUCUUCGGAUUGUAAAGCACUUUAAGUUGGGAGGAAGGGCAGUUACCUAAUACGUUAGUGUUUUGACGUUACCGACAGAAUAAGCACCGGCUAACUCUGUGCCAGCAGCCGCGGUAAUACAGAGGGUGCAAGCGUUAGUCGGAAUUACUGGGCGUAAAGCGCGCGUAGGUGGUUAGUUAAGUUGGAUGUGAAAUCCCCGGGCUCAACCUGGGAACUGCAUUCAAAACUGACUGACUAGAGUAUGGUAGAGGGUGGUGGAAUUUCCUGUGUAGCGGUGAAAUGCGUAGAUAUAGGAAGGAACACCAGUGGCGAAGGCGACCACCUGGACUGAUACUGACACUGAGGUGCGAAAGCGUGGGGAGCAAAC